GCUCCCGUCGUCUAGCGGUAAGGAUUAGGGGUUUUCGACCCCUCGACCCGGGUUCGAAUCCCGGCGGGAGCG
This 72-nucleotide transfer RNA is filed under the name Nanobdellota archaeon. Its description in RNAcentral is "tRNA-Glu". It matches the Rfam family "tRNA". Rfam says of the family: Transfer RNA (tRNA) molecules are approximately 80 nucleotides in length. Their secondary structure includes four short double-helical elements and three loops (D, anti-codon, and T loops). The record is from RNAcentral. Lineage: Archaea; Nanobdellati; Nanobdellota.